UUUUAUGACCAAGGGGGCAAGGGAGGUAACUCCAAAAGUGGGAACUGCGGUUUGCCAUGUGCUUCGCGGUGGUGAAGUUGACAACAAGAUGUGUAGACAGUUUGAUGGGUUUACAAAUUUUCUUGAACCGACAACCGACAAUAUGGAGGAAUGCAAGAAGCAAUGAACACUGCGGUGUAUAUAAUCAUGAUAAAA
This is a long non-coding RNA of Haliotis rubra (blacklip abalone), 195 nucleotides long. RefSeq lists it as uncharacterized. The record is from RefSeq and is a predicted model, not a curated record. The transcript is spliced from 2 exons. Lineage: Eukaryota; Metazoa; Mollusca; Gastropoda; Lepetellida; Haliotidae.